This 1053-nucleotide ribosomal RNA is filed under the name Samsoniella coccinellidicola. RNAcentral's name for it is "SSU rRNA". It matches the Rfam family "Eukaryotic small subunit ribosomal RNA", at positions 41 to 1106 of the family's 1831-position model. RNAcentral also lists the same sequence under 2 other names. The record is from RNAcentral. Lineage: Eukaryota; Fungi; Ascomycota; Sordariomycetes; Hypocreales; Cordycipitaceae.
AGAUUAAGCCAUGCAUGUCUAAGUAUAAGCAAUUAUACAGCGAAACUGCGAAUGGCUCAUUAUAUAAGUUAUCGUUUAUUUGAUAGUACCUUACUACUUGGAUAACCGUGGUAAUUCUAGAGCUAAUACAUGCUAAAAAUCCCGACUUCGGAAGGGAUGUAUUUAUUAGAUUAAAAACCAAUGCCCUCUGGGCUCCUUGGUGAUUCAUAAUAACUUUUCGAAUCGCAUGGCCUUGCGCCGGCGAUGGUUCAUUCAAAUUUCUUCCCUAUCAACUUUCGAUGUUUGGGUAUUGGCCAAACAUGGUCGCAACGGGUAACGGAGGGUUAGGGCUCGACCCCGGAGAAGGAGCCUGAGAAACGGCUACUACAUCCAAGGAAGGCAGCAGGCGCGCAAAUUACCCAAUCCCGAUUCGGGGAGGUAGUGACAAUAAAUACUGAUACAGGGCUCUUUUGGGUCUUGUAAUUGGAAUGAGUACAAUUUAAAUCCCUUAACGAGGAACAAUUGGAGGGCAAGUCUGGUGCCAGCAGCCGCGGUAAUUCCAGCUCCAAUAGCGUAUAUUAAAGUUGUUGUGGUUAAAAAGCUCGUAGUUGAACCUUGGGCCUGGCUGGCCGGUCCGCCUCACCGCGUGUACUGGUCCGGCCGGGCCUUUCCCUCUGUGGAACCUCAUGCCCUUCACUGGGUGUGGCGGGGAAACAGGACUUUUACUUUGAAAAAAUUAGAGUGCUCCAGGCAGGCCUAUGCUCGAAUACAUUAGCAUGGAAUAAUGAAAUAGGACGUGUGGUUCUAUUUUGUUGGUUUCUAGGACCGCCGUAAUGAUUAAUAGGGACAGUCGGGGGCAUCAGUAUUCAAUUGUCAGAGGUGAAAUUCUUGGAUUUAUUGAAGACUAACUACUGCGAAAGCAUUUGCCAAGGAUGUUUUCAUUAAUCAGGAACGAAAGUUAGGGGAUCGAAGACGAUCAGAUACCGUCGUAGUCUUAACCAUAAACUAUGCCGACUAGGGAUCGGACGAUGUUAUUUUUUGACGCGUUCGGCACCUUACGAGAAAUCAAAGUGC